GAUGAACGCUGGCGGCGUGCCUAAUACAUGCAAGUAGAACGCUGAAGGAGGAGCUUGCUCUUCUGGAUGAGUUGCGAACGGGUGAGUAACGCGUAGGUAACCUGCCUGGUAGCGGGGGAACUAUUGGAAACGAUAGCUAAUACCGCAUGACAACAGUUAUUGCAUGAUAACUGUUUAAAAGGGGCAACUGCUCCACUACCAGAUGGACCUGCGUUGUAUUAGCUAGUUGGUGAGGUAACGGCUCACCAAGGCGACGAUACAUAGCCGACCUGAGAGGGUGAUCGGCCACACUGGGACUGAGACACGGCCCAGACUCCUACGGGAGGCAGCAGUAGGGAAUCUUCGGCAAUGGACGGAAGUCUGACCGAGCAACGCCGCGGGAGUGAAGAAGGUUGUCGGAUCGUAAAGCUCUGUUGUAAGAGAAGAACGAGUGUGAGAGUGGAAAGUUCACACUGUGACGGUAUCUUACCAGAAAGGGACGGCUAACUACGUG
RNAcentral lists this ribosomal RNA (493 nucleotides) under uncultured bacterium. RNAcentral's name for it is "partial 16S ribosomal RNA". It matches the Rfam family "Bacterial small subunit ribosomal RNA", at positions 28 to 507 of the family's 1533-position model. The record is from RNAcentral.